AACUUAUCAAGAGAGGUGGAGGGACUGGCCCUAUGAAGCCCAGCAACCAACAUAAAUUUCAUUCAAUUUAUGUAGUGGUGCUAAUUCCUGCAGUUUUUAAACUGGUAGAUGAGGG
This 115-nucleotide non-coding RNA is filed under the name Clostridium intestinale. RNAcentral describes it as "SAM-I sequence". It matches the Rfam family "SAM riboswitch aptamer (S box leader)". From Rfam's summary of the family: The SAM riboswitch is found upstream of a number of genes which code for proteins involved in methionine or cysteine biosynthesis in Gram-positive bacteria. The SAM riboswitch acts at the level of transcription termination control. Lineage: Bacteria; Bacillati; Bacillota; Clostridia; Eubacteriales; Clostridiaceae. The record is from RNAcentral. RNAcentral also lists the same sequence under 1 other name.